GGUGCUAUAGUGUAGUGGUUAUCACUCAGGAUUUUGAGGAUGAAUUCCUGAAACCCAGGUUCGAACCCUGGUAGCACCU
Molecule: non-coding RNA, 79 nt
Organism: Pholiota conissans
Lineage: Eukaryota; Fungi; Basidiomycota; Agaricomycetes; Agaricales; Strophariaceae
Source: the annotation of a GenBank genome assembly